RNAcentral lists this ribosomal RNA (207 nucleotides) under uncultured bacterium. RNAcentral's name for it is "partial 16S ribosomal RNA". It matches the Rfam family "Bacterial small subunit ribosomal RNA", at positions 568 to 774 of the family's 1533-position model. The record is from RNAcentral.
UGCGUAGGCGGUCUUUCAAGCCAGAAGUGAAAGGCUACGGCUCAACCGUAGUAAGCUUUUGGAACUGUAGGACUUGAGUGCAGGAGAGGAGAGUAGAAUUCCUAGUGUAGCGGUGAAAUGCGUAGAUAUUAGGAGGAAUACCAGUAGCGAAGGCGGCUCUCUGGACUGUAACUGACGCUGAGGCACGAAAGCAGUGGGGAGCAAACA